This 1212-nucleotide long non-coding RNA is filed under the name Papio anubis (olive baboon). RNAcentral describes it as "lncRNA (ENSPANG00000039360.1)". Lineage: Eukaryota; Metazoa; Chordata; Mammalia; Primates; Cercopithecidae. The record is from RNAcentral.
GAGCUUCUCCUCUGCACGGAAUUCUCGGAGAGCCCGUCUGCCACACCGCACCCCGUGCUGAAGCAUGAGCACCCCUCCAGGGUGAAAAGCUUGAUUGUGUAGAAAGCCUAUUGGGGAAACUCAAAUGCAUGGAGUUCAGGCUGUGAUGCAGACAGUGAUUCCAAGGAAAUGACCCACCACUUUGGGGUCCUCUGCCCCAGCCAGCCCAGCCCCCACAGAACCCAGAGCCCAACACAUGUAGUUGAAAGUCUCACUGCAGCCCAGGCCUGGCUGAAAGGCCCCCGCCCUGGAGCCCUGCGGCUCCUCCCUCCGGACCCGAGGAGAGGCUGGGCGAACCCUCGGCCGAUGCUGGUGCCCCUGAGCCCCGGCUGUGUUCCGGGCGUACUGCGGGCCGGGAGGCGCCUUUCACGGUUCAUGCAGGCCAUGCCGCGGCGUGGCGAAGCUGACUGCGCGCCAGGUGGCCACGGCCUUCGAUCUGUCCCGCUUCUCCUCCGCCUGCGACGUGGGAGAGUAGCUGCUGUAGCACCAGCCAUUGUGUCUGUAUCCCCAUGGCAGGAAGGAGAAGGGAGGAGUACAGCCCCCACCUCUGGGCUGGAAGGAUUUCCCUGCAGGUCUGUGCCCCCACACGUGGCCCAGAGUGGCUGCUGUAGCACCGGCCAUUGUGCCCCCACACGUGGCCCAGAGUGGCUGCUGUAGCACCGGCCAUUGUGCCCCCACACGUGGCCCAGAGUGGCUGCUGUUGCACCGACCAUCGUGUAUACAUCCCCAUGGCAGGAAGGAGAAGGGAGGAGUACAGUGUACACCCCUGGGCUGGAAGGAUUUCCCUGCAGGUCUGUGCCCCCGCACUCACCUGCUUGCACAGUCUUGUCUGGGACCCCAGCGAACUCCCCACCACUGGCUUUUGUAGCAUGGGUCUCAAUUGCCAUGCCACCGGUAUGACUUCUGCGGUUGAGCUGUGGAAGUGCGUCCAGCGUUCGUAGGCACCAGGGCAACCGGCCGCAGAAGCGUCACAUUGCUUCCCGCGGGCUGCACAGGGGCACUGGCCCGAGCUGGCGUACCGUCUCCGCGUGACUAUGUUUGACCUCCCGGACGUCGUCGGGCUGGCCGUCCACUUCCAGCCGCCGGACCGCAGGCAGCGCCAGAUCCGCCGCCAGCAGGUGAGCCUUCCUGCGCCCUGCGUUUUCCAGGCUCCGUCAUCUCUUUCCAGACAGA